UACCCGCUGAACUUAAGCAUAUCAAUAAGCGGAGGAAAAGAAACUAACAAGGAUUCCCCUAGUAACUGCGAGUGAAGCGGGAAAAGCUCAAAUUUAAAAUCUGGCGGUCUUUGGCCGUCCGAGUUGUAGUCUGGAGAAGUGCUUUCCGCGCUGGACCGUGUAUAAGUCUCUUGGAACAGAGCGUCAUAGAGGGUGAGAAUCCCGUCUUUGACACGGACUACCAGUGCUUUGUGAUGCGCUCUCAAAGAGUCGAGUUGUUUGGGAAUGCAGCUCAAAAUGGGUGGUGAAUUCCAUCUAAAGCUAAAUAUUGGCGAGAGACCGAUAGCGAACAAGUACCGUGAGGGAAAGAUGAAAAGCACUUUGGAAAGAGAGUUAAACAGUACGUGAAAUUGCUGAAAGGGAAACGCUUGAAGUCAGUCGCGUUGUCCGGAACUCAGCCUUGCUUUCGCUUGGUGCACUUUCCGGAUGACGGGUCAGCAUCGAUUUUGACCGUCGGAAAAGGGCUGGAGUAAUGUGGCACCUCCGGGUGUGUUAUAGACUCCGGUCGCAUACGGCGGUUGGGAUCGAGGAACGCAGCGCGCCGCAAGGCAGGGGUUCGCCCACUUUCGCGCUUAGGAUGCUGGCAUAAUGGCUUUAAACGACCCGUCUUGAAACACGGACCAAGGAGUCUAACAUACCUGCGAGUGUUUGGGUGGCAAACCCGAGCGCGUAAUGAAAGUGAAAGUUGAGAUCCCUGUCGUGGGGAGCAUCGACGCCCGGACCUGACGUUCUCUGACGGAUCCGCGGUAGAGCAUGUAUGUUGGGACCCGAAAGAUGGUGAACUAUGCCUGAAUAGGGUGAAGCCAGAGGAAACUCUGGUGGAGGCUCGUAGCGAUUCUGACGUGCAAAUCGAUCGUCAAAUUUGGGUAUAGGGGCGAAAGACUAAUC
RNAcentral lists this ribosomal RNA (927 nucleotides) under Phylloporia weberiana. Its description in RNAcentral is "partial large subunit ribosomal RNA". It matches the Rfam family "Eukaryotic large subunit ribosomal RNA", at positions 22 to 936 of the family's 3401-position model. Lineage: Eukaryota; Fungi; Basidiomycota; Agaricomycetes; Hymenochaetales; Hymenochaetaceae. The record is from RNAcentral.